GUCUACAGCCAUACCACCCUGAACAAUCCCGAUCCAGUCAGUUCUCAGAAGCUAAGUAGGGUCGGGUCUGGUUAGUACUUGGAUGGGAGACCACCUAGGAAGACCAGGUGCUGUAGGCA
This 119-nucleotide ribosomal RNA is filed under the name Pteropus alecto (black flying fox). The record is from RNAcentral. Lineage: Eukaryota; Metazoa; Chordata; Mammalia; Chiroptera; Pteropodidae.